RNAcentral lists this ribosomal RNA (253 nucleotides) under uncultured bacterium. RNAcentral describes it as "partial 16S ribosomal RNA". It matches the Rfam family "Bacterial small subunit ribosomal RNA", at positions 524 to 776 of the family's 1533-position model. The record is from RNAcentral.
GACAGAGGGGGCAAGCGGUGUCCGGAGUUACUGGGCGUAAAGGGCGCGGAGGCGGUCUGCGGCGUCGGCGCUGAAAGCGCCCCGCUUAACGGGGCGAGGCGUGCCGAUACGCGCAGACUUGAGGCGAGCAGAGGGUGGUGGAAUUCCGGGUGGAGCGGUGAAAUGCGUAGAGAUCCGGAGGAACGCCAGUGGGGAAGCCGGCCACCUGGGCUCGUCCUGACGCUGCGGCGCGACCGAGUGGGGAGCAAACCGG